RNAcentral lists this ribosomal RNA (478 nucleotides) under uncultured bacterium. Its description in RNAcentral is "partial 16S ribosomal RNA". It matches the Rfam family "Bacterial small subunit ribosomal RNA", at positions 28 to 523 of the family's 1533-position model. The record is from RNAcentral.
GACGAACGCUGGCGGCGUGCUUAACACAUGCAAGUCGAACGGUAAGGCCCUUCGGGGUACACGAGUGGCGAACGGGUGAGUAACACGUGGGUGAUCUGCCCUGCACUUCGGGAUAAGCCUGGGAAACUGGGUCUAAUACCGGAUAGGACCACUGCCUGCAUGGGUGGUGGUGGAAAGCUUUUGCGGUGUGGGAUGGGCCCGCGGCCUAUCAGCUUGUUGGUGGGGUGAUGGCCUACCAAGGCGACGACGGGUAGCCGGCCUGAGAGGAUGACCGGUCACACUGGAAGUGUGAUACGGCCCAGUCUCGUACGGGAGGCAGCAGUGGGGAAUUUUGCCCAAUGGGCACAAGCCUGAUGCAGCGACGCCGCGUGAGGGAUGACGGCCUUCGGGUUGUAAACCUCUUUCAGCACCGACGAAGCGCAAGUGACGGUAGGUACAGAAGAAGGACCGGCCAACUACGUGCCAGCCGCCGCCGUAA